UACGUAGGCAGCGAGCGUUGUUCGGAGUUACUGGGCGUAAAGGGUGUGUAGGCGGUUUUCUAAGUUUGGUGUGAAAUCUCCCGGCUCAACCGGGAGGGUGCGCCGAAAACUGGGGGUCUAGAGUGCGGGAUGGGAGAGUAGAAUUCCUGGUGUAGCGGUGAAAUGCGUAGAUAUCAGGAGGAAUACCGGUGGGGUAGACGGCUCUCUGGACCGCCACUGACGCUGAGACACGAAAGCGUGGGUAGCAAACAGG
RNAcentral lists this ribosomal RNA (253 nucleotides) under uncultured bacterium. RNAcentral describes it as "partial 16S ribosomal RNA". It matches the Rfam family "Bacterial small subunit ribosomal RNA", at positions 524 to 776 of the family's 1533-position model. The record is from RNAcentral.